CCAUCUCCCGUCGCGCCUAUAUAGCCCUGCCAAUCCUAGGGUUCCGCGCCCCUCCUAUCGCCGCCGCCAUCCCUCUUCUCCACUCCAUCAUCUCCCUACCCCGGUAAGUUCAGAGAGAGAUCGUCAGGUUCAGAGCGAGAGCAGGGGAUCAUCCUCGUCGUCCCCGCCUUCUCCUUCAUCGUCAGCAGCCUCUCCGCGGCGUCUGAGGCGCCCGCGAGGAAGCUGGCAUUGUCCUUGUCCCGUUCCCGCGCUAGGAGAGGUCGAGCCCCCUCCAUGGCGUCGGCCCCGUCGUCGCAUCACCGGCGCGGAAGCUUCACUGCAGCAGGCCACUCCAAGCAUCUUCUUCCUGCGCGCCUCGUUCUCGCCUUCGGUGCAACCUAGGUGAGCAGAGUAGACCCUCUUGCCCUCUCCCGCGUGCUCGAUCCGCUCGUCGUAGCGUAGCAUCGUCGCUGUCGCGUUCCGCCAUGGCCAGAAGCGCAAGCUUCUUGCGCCGCCAGUAGGUUCCCCCUUCCGCCGCAUUAGCCCUGGGAAUGGAACCCCCUAGGAUUUCCGCACCCCCGCCGGUCAGUUGUUGCAGUCACCGUUGCCGCAUCGUCGCCGGAGUCGAGCUCCUCCUUCCAUCUUCUCAAGGUAGAAGAAGAUAGGGCGUCNNNNNNNNNNNNNNNNNNNNNNNNNNNNNNNNNNNNNNNNNNNNNNNNNNNNNNNNNNNNNNNNNNNNNNNNNNNNNNNNNNNNNNNNNNNNNNNNNNNNNNNNNNNNNNNNNNNNNNNNNNNNNNNNNNNNNNNNNAGUGUAGAUAUCCUAUUAGGUGCCGAACCGUUUCUGUUUUAGAUACCCCUCCUAGGCCAGUGGUUCCAGCGCCGCUCCUCGACCCCGUGGUCGUGGGUUCGAAUCCCCGCCGGCGUCCCUUCGUUGUUCCUCCCUGUUGCGGUUAGCUGUGGAGUAAGAUAGGUGGCUAGUGGAGCCUGGUGGUAGCUAGUGUGGUGUGUGUGCAUGAGGUGCAGGUUUCGACUCCCCCCUGCACCUUUUCUUUUGUGUGGUUUGUGUGUGUGUGGCGUGUGUGCAAGGGAUCCCUUGUGGCCAUGUGUGGGAUCCCAUGUGCCUAUAUAUGUGCGUGUGUGUGUGUGGCUGUGUGUGUUGUGGGGCUUGGCCCACUUGCAUACACCCACUAGAGGGCCCCGGUGCAAUAACCAGUGGGCCCCAUGCCAUAUUGUUUUUUUUUUGUGUGUUUUGAGUUGUUUUCUAUUUUUAGGUAUAGUCCAAAUAGGGAUAUAGCCGGUUUUGGCCUAUGCCAAAUUAGGCAGUUUUGACUUAUAGAUUUAUUGGGCCAAUGUGUAUUUCUCUUCUUAUUUGUGGCUGUGAUAUUACCUUUUGUGGAUUAAUUCCAGAAGUGGGAAUUACCUAAUCUGGUAUAUACCAGAUAUGGCAGGGCAAGAACAGUUCAUGUUCUUGGCACGGUACGUUUUAAUCUUGUGGAGUAUUUCUUUUGUUGUUUGUGUUGUUUUCCUGCAUGCAUAUAUAACAGUGUAAUAUAUGGAUUUGGGGUAGGAGAACCCAAGGAAUUCAAUGGUGGCACUGGAUUCCAGUUUUGAGCAGUUUUGCAGAAGUGUCACUUUGUGAUGAGGUGACACAUGUUUACCUUUGUAGGUUGGUUUAAGUGCAUAAUUAGGGGUUGGGCAUUCAUGCGUCAUAUUAGGGUGUGCAUCAUAUCGUGCUUGUGUUGUGGUGUAUAUCGUGUAUUGAUUCUUGUUUCUGGUUUGCUUCGUCUCGAUAGUGUUCCGCAAGUGUGUCGGAAUGUGAGGAUCCGUUCGACUACGUCGGUUCGCCAUCUUCACGGAGUCGUUCUUCUUCCAAGAGGGAUCUCGGGAAAGAUGAUCAUUUCCCUAGAUACCAUUACUAUCAUUGCCAUGCUAGUUGGUUCGUUUCUAUCGCUAUGUCUUGUUGCCUACCACCUGUUAAAUGCCACCCUCUCAACAUAGCCACGAAAACCCUCAACCUGUUCAGAACCUAGCAAACCACUGUUUGGCUAUGUUACUGCUUACUUAACCAUGUGUUAGCAUUGCUAGUUGCAGGUGCAAUUGCUUCCAUGUGUUUACAUGGGUUCCUUGUUAUAUCACCAAAUUACUGCUAUUUUAUUUAAUGCACCUAUAUACUUGGUAAAACAUGGAAGGCUCAUUCUUUCUAGCCUGGUGUUUUGUUCCACCUUUGCCCCCUUAGUUUCGGCUAGCGGUGUUAUAUUCCAUAGUUGAGCGCUCCUAACAAAAUCGGGGUUGUUAUGAGGACCCCCUUGAUAAUUUGUUUUAGUUUAAACUGGUCUGGCAAGGCCCAACUUUGGUAGUACAUUUGCCUAAUAACUAAUGGACCACAUAGGGAGUAAUUAACCCGAGGAAACUUAAUCAACCCCCGGGCCAGUGCUCCUCAUGAGUGUUGGUCCAAAAAGGGCAGACUGCGGGGCCACCACGGGGCAACUCGAGGUUUGGUUUUACCCGUAGGCUUUCCCAUUCGGUCGUGUCCUAAGAACGAGAUACACGGCUCCUAUCGGAUUCGUCGACACGUCGGGCGGCCUUGCUGGAUUAGUUUUACCUUUAACAAAAUAUCUUGUGCAUCGGGAUUCCGGUGAGACUUUGGGACUUCUCAGAGUAGAGGUUUUCCACUAAGGAAUCCAAUGAAGUCACGAGUUUCAUGAUUGAGGCUUUCUAUGUGGCUUGUGGUAAUUUAUGAUGGACUAGUUGGAGCACCUCUGCAGGGUUAAAUCUUUUGGAAAGCCGUGCACACGGUUAUGUGGCAACGUGGAAACUUUGUUUAACAUCCGAUUAUAGAUAACUUGAAGUUAACUUAAUUAAAACUUGCCAACUGAGUGUGUACCGUGACUAUCUCUUUCGUGAGCUCCUUCUCCAAUCGAGGACACGGUGGGGUUACGUUUGACGUAAGUAGGUGUUCAGGAUCAUUCAUUUGAUCAUCAGUAGUUCACGUCCAUUAUGCGUAGAUCAUUCCCCCUCUUAUUCUUGUACUCGUAAGUUAGCCACCUCAUAUAUUGCUUAGUCGCUUGCUGCAGCCUCACUCCUUAACCAUACCUCACCUACUAAUCUUUGCUAGUCUUGGUACCUUUGGAAAUGAGAUUGCAGGUACUGGUAAAUCGAUAUUAAGACAUGAGCGCGAUCAUUGUUCAUUUGGAGUUUCUUCGUCUUCUUCUUCUUCAUCGAUCUAGGAUGGGUUCCAGGCUCGCAGCCUGGGAUAGCACGGAUGGACGUCGUUCUUUUAUCGUUUGUUUUCAUCCAUAGACGAACCUGCUCUUCUUUAUGAUGAUUGUAUGUAUUGUACUGAUGUGACUCUGAUGUAGCUUGUGGUGAGUGUAAGCCAAUUCCGUAUACUCAUCUUUUCAGUACAUGUAUUUGUAACGAUAUCCAUUCUUGCGAAACGACGAGAUGCGCUUCUAUCCCCGUCGAGGCCCUCAUGCUAAAAUAAGGAUAGGAUCGCAUCUUGGGCGUUACAAGUUGGUAUCGGAGCAGUACCGACCUAGGAACCCCCUUGAUUGAUCGAACUUGGCCGAGUCGAGUCUAGUAAAAAUCUGCUUUGGAUCUAGUUAUAUAUCAAAGAGUAGGAUUCUUUUUUCUCCUCUUCUAAGCUCUAGUGAGGAAUCCUGACGUAAUAAUUUUAUUCUACUCCUCUUCUCACUCAAAAAAAAAAUUAGGAUCACACAGAUAUUUUUGGAAUCUAUAUGAUGUCGAUGUGACGGAGUUCUGUCUUGGUGCCUCCUGUCUGACUUGAUUUCUUCCGGGGAGUUGAGCUCUAGGGGAUUCUUGAGCACAUCGUUAUCAUUCAUAUUUCUUAGUAUCUCGGGACGAAGGAUGUCCGAAAUGGCUUCAAUACUAGUAGUGGCGAGAGGAGUCUAGCUUCCCCAGUACUGGUGCAGAUAGGUCUGGAUGUAUCGCCACACUUAGUAUCGUUGUGAUUACGAGGAUCUGAUAUAGAUGAGUUUUCGAGGUCUCUGGUUAUGUGUUGACGGAUGUGAUACACUGGAUGGGUAGUGUUAUUGUUAGGAGUUGAGUGAUGGAUAUUACUCCUUGUAUCCGUGGACCAGAUCGCAUGACCAGGAAUUUCGGGAGUUCUUAGGUGGGAAUUCAAGUAGUCACUUAUAGGACAAUCUUCCAACAGAUGCAUGAUGUGAGGUUGGGGUUCGACAUUUAGUGGAUUAUUUGUUCACUGUCGUUUUACAGUGGUUCACGUUGUGUCUUAAAGAGUCCUUGUAGCUUGCUAUGACUCAGGACGCUUCGUAUGUCAUGAGCACUGCCUAGGCCCGGUCUUGAGGGAGGGCAGGGGGCGGCCGCCCCGGGCCCCGGGAACGGAGGGGCCUCCCACCGAGGUGUGUGUGCUUAGCCAGUUAGGCCUGCUACUUCGUGGACUGAAAAAAGCAACACAAUCAUUCUGGGCCAAGUUACUUAGUAUAGAAGACAAAGUCCGAUUAAUAACCCACCAGAGCAUUAGCGAUCAUGGAUUGAUUCUCAAAACAAAAAAAACGAUCGUGGACUUAGUCAGCCUUCCAUGAUACAUAGUACAUCAGGUACGGGGUUGGGCUUCACGCAUGCAUGAGUCAUGGCAUCGGCGUCGGCGGCUGCCGUGGAUCAUUUUUUCCUUGUUCAUUCCGCAGUGGCGUCGCACCCUCUCCCCGGCCGGAUACAUCGCCUCCUCGUCUAUAGGCACCG
This 4701-nucleotide long non-coding RNA is filed under the name Hordeum vulgare. RNAcentral describes it as "long non-coding RNA (HVUL_LNC019113)". Lineage: Eukaryota; Viridiplantae; Streptophyta; Magnoliopsida; Poales; Poaceae. The record is from RNAcentral.